CGCAAGCCUGAACGAGCGAUGCCGCGUGAGCGAUGAAGGCCUUCGGGUGUAAAGCUCAAAGGGGUGAGAAAGGGCAACUUGAUCGAACCCCAGUAAGCUCGGGCUAAGUUCGUGCCAGCAGCCGCGGUAAGACGAACCGAGCGAACGUUGUUCGGAAUCACUGGGCUUAAAGGGCGCGUAGGCGGGUGCUCAAGUCCGGGGUGAAAUCCCACAGCUCAACUGUGGAACUGCCUCGGAUACUGGGUGUCUCGAGGGUGGUAGGGGUAUGCGGAACUAUCGGUGGAGCGGUGAAAUGCGUUGAUAUCGAUAGGAACUCCGGUGGCGAAGGCGGCAUACUGGACCACUUCUGACGCUGAGGCGCGAAAGCCAGGGGAGCAAACGGGAUUAGAUACCCCGGUAGUCCUGGCCCUAAACGAUGGGAACUAGCUAGUAGGCUUCACAUGGGUUUACUGGCGAAGCAAAAGUGCUAAGUUCCCCGCCUGGGGAGUAUGGUCGCAAGGCUG
Molecule: ribosomal RNA, 503 nt
Filed under: uncultured Planctomycetota bacterium
Lineage: Bacteria; Pseudomonadati; Planctomycetota
Description: bacterial SSU rRNA
Rfam family: Bacterial small subunit ribosomal RNA
Source: RNAcentral